UGAAUAUAAUAUUAAUUUUAAUAAAAAACCUGUAUUGAAAAUAAGCAAAAUAAAAAAACAAUACGGACGAUUAGUGUUACGUCACAAAUGUUAUAAAUCCUUAUCAAAUGUCCCAAUUGGAUCAAAACAAAUAUUUCGUAUUAUGUGAAAAGCAUAUACUUUUAGAAAAUUUGAACAAAAUUGUAGUUUAAACUUUCAAUUUACGCGAUUUUUCAUUAAACUAACUAUGCACAGUGCAUUAGUGCACACAAACUUUAAGCAUUUAUAAAACUAAACAAUUCUGCUUAAACAACAUGUAAAUAUAAUUAAAAUAUUAAUUUUAAGCGAUAUUAUUACACUGUAAUAGUUUUUGUUUGGAUCCAACGGAUCAUUGAUAUGAUUUGAGAACGUCAAGAACGUGUAUGACUCAAGCACUAAUCGUCCUAAAAUUUUUGAAACGGUACCUGAUCGCCUACAAUAUAUUUCAAAACGUUAUUUCAUCGCCACUGACCACUUUGUCAAUCAAAAUUAUGAACAACGUAUGACCAAACGUGAAUGGUUGUUGUAAAGUAGAGGUGAAAUAAUAAAAUGGCCUACAGCACAUUGCUCUUAUGAUACUGACAUACGCGGAUGCAGAUGGCACCUGGUCUCAUCCCAACUCACUACAAUAUCAGAGCACGAAGAGAUAUUGUGGUAUAUUCAAAGCGUCGAGACAAAUACCAACACCACUUACAUUUUACAGAGACACCCAGCAACUAGGUAUCACAGUAACAACUAUGAACAGGUUACUACAACUAUGAACUAUAUAUUUUUUGAAAUAAUUCAAACUAAUUACUCAUACAAAUAGGUCACAUUUUAGUUUAUGGUUAUAUAUAUAUUAUUACUUACCUAUUAUGAGAUAUCAAAUUUCUACAAACUAAAAUAGCCGAUUAAGUAGAAUAUUAAUUUGUACCCAAUAAACUUAUAACUUAUUAAUAAGUUCAAUUUAAUUUGUCAGAAACUCAGUGAAUAUAUAUUCAGUUUUAAAAUGUAGACUAAAUCUAUAUUUCUUUUAACAAGGUUUAACUGAUAUGUAUAUUUACUUGUUUAUAAAUAUUUUAACCAAUAAGCAAUAAAUAUUGUAAUCCUACAAAUAAGAAAACAACGAUUGAAAGUUUUUGAACUGUGUGUAACGCACCAUUGUAACAUAGUUAACAAUAUCAUAUUGGUACAUUGUUUAUAAUAGGUAUCUAUCAUCAAGCACAUCAUUUUGAAUCAAUGGAAAAUAUCGAAAUUUCAAUAUUUGAUACUACUGAGAAUUUUCAUUUGAAAUAAAUACGAAUACUUUGAAACUAGUAAUAGCAAGUACUUAAUUAAUUUGUUUUUUUUUUUAAAUAAGUAAGUAUAUUCUAAUGUUUAUUUGUACAAUUCUACAAAAUUAUAAUAAUUAUUCAUUUUUAUUGCAACAUGAACACAAUUAAAUGAGUUUGAUAUUUAAGAAUCCAACAUAGCAUAGAAUCCAUAAAAUUAAAAAUAAAUUUUCAAUUUUAUUUAUUAACACACCAGGACUAAUAAUGACCAAAGUUGUAAUUAGUUUAAAAAAUGCAAUAGGAAACACCCUUUAAAUUAUAUUAUUAAAAUAUAAUAGGUAGUUAGGGCUGUGAAUUUGUAGAAAUGUUUAUCUAUCCCUAUAAGUAUAUAGCUUAUUGUAAAACAUUAUGUUCUGAACUCAAAGUUUGAAUUAGUAUAUUAUACUAACAGUUUAUUUUUUAAAACUUUUAUCUAGCAUAACAUUUUCCUUUAUAUUUUUAAUUUUUAAAUAUAGGUAUUUUUUGACCUAAUUAUAACUUUUUCCUUGUAAUUAAGUUUUAUCAAAAAUGUUCAUCAGCUACAGUUUUUACACACAGAUUUUUGUUAACUAAUUAAAAAUAAAAUUUUUAUUUUUAUAAUUUUUACAUUUUUAAAUUGCUAAAUAUUUUUAAUUUUCUUAGUGUAUUUUUGAGAUUGGAUAUGUGUUUUUAAGAUUUUUUAGUACAUUAAAUUCACAACCCCAUUCAUAAUCACAUUUUUCUUUUAAUGUACUUAUGAUGUACCUUCCUAAUUCCUAAUAUAUGACAUGUUACAACCCAUUAUGGCUUAUAACAAAGUAUAUACUAUUAUAUUAUAUUUAUAAAUAGUUAUAACACACUGUAAGUACUGCAGCAGCUGAGCAUGUGCAAUAGUUUUGUGAACAUUCAUCUUCUCUUGUUCGCCAGUACCGUGUUUGGAGUCAAAGUAUUUAUAAUAGUAAGUUAUAGAAUGCACGUCACUUUACAGUAUUAUACACAUCGUUUUACUUAUAUGUCUUACAUGUUUCCAUUCAGUUUGAAAAUCAAGAAAAGAAUUAGUCUGGAUUUUAUAUUAUAAUAAUUAUCAUGUCGUUUACUGUCAUUAUAAGAGCCUAUAUACAAACUGUUCAUUUUUUUUAUUCACUACUCACAAUUAGAAUAUUUAUGUAAUAUAACAUAAUCUUAAACGUUUCACAAACACUAAAAUAGGUACCUACAAUAAAACAUAGACUGCAAUGUACACUGCAAAAAACGAGUGAGUUUUUAACAUCUACAGCUAUAUUAUUACUUAUUAUUUAUGUAUAAUAUAUAUUAGAACAUUACUUAAUUAUAGGUAUGUAUAUAAUUUGUAACAGUGUUUUUAUAACAUAAAAAAUUUAAUUAAAAAUAGAUAUACAAAUGGUAUUUUA
This is a long non-coding RNA of Aphis gossypii (cotton aphid), 2695 nucleotides long. RefSeq lists it as uncharacterized. Lineage: Eukaryota; Metazoa; Arthropoda; Insecta; Hemiptera; Aphididae. The record is from RefSeq and is a predicted model, not a curated record. The transcript has 3 exons.